UCUAUUUGUCCUGGCGCGGGUAACCCGCAUCUUCACGGGUACUUCAAUUUCGCCGAGUCCCUCGUUGAGACAGCGCCCAGAUCGUUACGCCAUUCGUGCGGGUCGGAACUUACCCGACAAGGAAUUUCGCUACCUUAGGACCGUUAUAGUUACGGCCGCCGUUCACUGGGGCUUCGGUUCAAACCGUGAAGCUCUCCCCUUAACCUUCCAGCACUGGGCAGGCGUCAGCCCCUAUACUUCCCCUUACGGGUUGGCAGAGACCUGUGUUUUUGGUAAACAGUCGCCUGGGCCGGCUCGCUGCGGCCCCAGCCUGCUCCACUCGCGAAGAGUUUCACAGUCCGGGGCGCUCCUUAUCCCGAAGUUACGGAGCUAUUUUGCCGAGUUCCUUAACGAGGGUUAUCUCGAUCACCUAAGGGUACUUACCCCCGCCCACCAGAGUCGGUUUGCGGUACGGGCACUUACGGUGCUAGUAACGAGGCUCUUCUUGCCAGUGUAGGCUCAGCAUACUCGGAUUUGACAAAAGUCUCCUCCUCGCUCCGACCCCUCCGCUUAACCUGGGAACUGCAUUUGUGACUGCAAGGCUGGAGUACGGUAGAGGGGGAUGGAAUUCCGCGUGUAGCAGUGAAAUGCGUAGAUAUGCGGAGGAACACCGAUGGCGAGGGCAAUCCCCUGGACCUGUACUGACGCUCAUGCACGAAAGCGUGGGGAGCAAACAGGAUUAGAUACCCUGGUAGUCCACGCCCUAAACGAUGUCAACUGGUUGUUGGGAAGGUUCCUUCUCAGUAACGUAGCUAACGCGUGAAGUUGACCGCCUGGGGAGUACGGCCGCAAGGUUGAAACUCAAAGGAAUUGACGGGGACCCGCACAAGCGGUGGAUGAUGUGGUUUAAUUCGACGCAACGCGAAAAACCUUACCUACCCUUGACAUGUCUGGAAUUUUACAGAGAUGUGAAAGUGCUCGAAAGAGAACCAGAACACAGGUGCUGCAUGGCCGUCGUCAGCUCGUGUCGUGAGAUGUUGGGUUAAGUCCCGCAACGAGCGCAACCCUUGUCAUUAGUUGCUACGAAAGGGCACUCUAAUGAGACUGCCGGUGACAAACCGGAGGAAGGUGGGGAUGACGUCAGGUCAUCAUGGCCCUUAUGGGUAGGGCUACACACGUCAUACAAUGGCCGGUACAGAGGGCUGCCAACCCGCGAGGGGGAGCCAAUCCCAGAAAACCGGUCGUAGUCCGGAUCGCAGUCUGCAACUCGACUGCGUGAAGUCGGAAUCGCUAGUAAUCGCGGAUCAGCUUGCCGCGGUGAAUACGUUCCCGGGUCUUGUACACACCGCCCGUCACACCAUGGGAGCGGGUUCUGCCAGAAGUAGUUAGCCUAACCGCAAGGAGGGCGAUUACCACGGCAGGGUUCGUGACUGGGGUGAAGUCGAAACAAGGUA
RNAcentral lists this ribosomal RNA (1433 nucleotides) under metagenome. RNAcentral's name for it is "bacterial SSU rRNA". The stretch from base 406 to 1433 matches the Rfam family "Bacterial small subunit ribosomal RNA". The record is from RNAcentral.